Molecule: long non-coding RNA, 579 nt
Filed under: Medicago truncatula (barrel medic)
Lineage: Eukaryota; Viridiplantae; Streptophyta; Magnoliopsida; Fabales; Fabaceae
Description: long non-coding RNA (MTRU_LNC002408)
Source: RNAcentral
CUCUUUCAUUAACAUAUGCUGAAUGUAACUAAGAAUAGACUUUGGUCCAAGAAAAUCCAAGUUUAGGACUUUCCUAAAACUAAACCAUAAUGUUGGAAUCAUUAAUUUGACAUCAAGAGAUUGUGUAAAUGAAAAAAAUGUGAGUAAGAAGAUUAGAAGAACAUAGCUAACUAACAAUUGGUACAGUUAGACUUAGAGUGUGCUCUGCUAUCUUCCAGUCCAUAUUAAUGAUAAAACCCCAAGUUGGCAAUUCAGCCAUUAUCUUUGGUCACUCUUCUGUAAUAGGGAAAAUGCGCUGAGAAUCGCAAUUAGUUCUUUUGUCAAUUUACAUACCAACACCUGCAGAACCACACAAAUUGCCAAGUAUAAAUGUAAGUAGGGGUACAUCGAAAUGGAAAGAAGAAAGACACCGUAAUCUUCAUGAAUAUGGUCAAUAGCUACCAAAUUCCCAAACCUUAGCCAAUAAGUUAACCACUUUUGCAGCCAAAGCUUUGUGGCGAUCUAUCAGUAUAUUGUUCAUUUGCGCAAUUUGGUGCAAAGGCUGGGCAGUUUUCUGUAAAUAAAACAAAUAGAGUUAGC